This 484-nucleotide ribosomal RNA is filed under the name uncultured bacterium. Its description in RNAcentral is "partial 16S ribosomal RNA". It matches the Rfam family "Bacterial small subunit ribosomal RNA", at positions 30 to 507 of the family's 1533-position model. The record is from RNAcentral.
AUUGAACGCUGGCGGCAGGCCUAACACAUGCAAGUCGAGCGGAUGAAGGGAGCUUGCUCCUGGAUUCAGCGGCGGACGGGUGAGUAAUGCCUAGGAAUCUGCCUGGUAGUGGGGGAUAACGUCCGGAAACGGGCGCUAAUAUCGCAUACGUCCUGAGGGAGAAAGUGGGGGAUCUUCGGACCUCACGCUAUCAGAUGAGCCUAGGUCGGAUUAGCUAGUUGGUGGGGUAAAGGCCUACCAAGGCGACGAUCCGUAACUGGUCUGAGAGGAUGAUCAGUCACACUGGAACUGAGACACGGUCCAGACUCCUACGGGAGGCAGCAGUGGGGAAUAUUGGACAAUGGGCGAAAGCCUGAUCCAGCCAUGCCGCGUGUGUGAAGAAGGUCUUCGGAUUGUAAAGCACUUUAAGUUGGGAGGAAGGGCAGUAAGUUAAUACCUUGCUGUUUUGGCGUUACCAACAGAAUAAGCACCGGCUAACUUCGUG